GCAUCCUGGGGCUGGAGCAGGUCCCAAGGGUAUGGCUGUUCGCCAUUUAAAGCGGUACGUGAGUUGGGUUAAUAACGUCGUGAGACAGUUAGGUCCCUAUCUACUGUGGGCGUUGGAUAUUUGAGUGAACUUGACCUUAGUACGAGAGGACCGGGUCGAACGAACCUCUGGUGUACCUGUUGUCGCGCCAGCGGCACCGCAGGGUAGCUAUGUUCGGAACAGAUAACCGCUGAAAGCAUCUAAGCGGGAAGCUGGUCGCAAGAUAAGAUAUCCCCAUGAGUUCAGUUCUAGACUAGGACAUUGAUAGGCCGUAUGUGUAAGUCCGGUGACGGAUUCAGCUUAACGGUACUAAUCGAACCAUUGACUUUUUAUC
RNAcentral lists this ribosomal RNA (373 nucleotides) under Alphaproteobacteria bacterium. Its description in RNAcentral is "partial 23S ribosomal RNA". It matches the Rfam family "Bacterial large subunit ribosomal RNA", at positions 2542 to 2925 of the family's 2925-position model. Lineage: Bacteria; Pseudomonadati; Pseudomonadota; Alphaproteobacteria. The record is from RNAcentral.